UAUUUGGGAGACCCCUUACUUAUAUAUCCGCCUCGAUAUAAGAGAACGGAGUUGAGCGUUCCUCAGCUACAUGCUUGCUAGACAGCAUGUAAUCAUAUGCAGUUUGAGCAUUGUCAGUUUAUGGUUUGUUAUACAUGUUGGCAAAUUAGAAAAUCUAAACCAAUAAGAGAAUAGAGGAGAACAAGAAGCCGGCUGCUAUGUGUGCGUGCACUGUGCCACACUUGCCGCGCGCUCUAAAGCCGGAGAACCAACCACGUGGUAACUCCAAAGUGGGCUUGAGGGGGAAAUGGUUGACACAAGUUAGCACAGCCUCAAAGUCAGAAUUGGCUAUAUCGUAAUAUUUUUUUUUACGUUUGAUUUUUCUUCUUAAUUUAAGGUUAGGCAUAAUGUUAGCAGUGUGGUUAGGGUAAAUUGUAGAAAUAGGCGGGGUUUAUGACUUUGACUGCUGUAACUAGUGACGUCCGAAAAAACUGUUGGAGGGACAUGGCGCCGCACAGCAAAGCCAUCCUACUCGCCUUAUCGUCUCACGUUACCGGAGCUUGGCAGAACUGAGGGUUUGGGCGAUCAGAGGGCAGACGACCACCACGUUGGAACACCACAGAGCCUUGCUCCUAGGGCUGAACGAUUAAUUGCAUUCGCGAUAAUAUCGCGAUUUGACUGAACGCGAUUUUCUAAUCGCAACGUGCGCGAUUUGAGGUGGUCACGUGACGCGACUUUUCAUGCUGUCCAGCGCAAUGGCCUCUUGCUCGACGGAACAGUCAGAAACUGACACAGCUGAUACUUUAAUAUCGAAGAGGAACAGCACGUCGGUGGUGUGGAACUAUUUUGGUUUUAAAAA
Long non-coding RNA from Coregonus clupeaformis (lake whitefish), 838 nucleotides. RefSeq lists it as uncharacterized. NCBI's taxonomy places the organism in Eukaryota, Metazoa, Chordata, Actinopteri, Salmoniformes, Salmonidae. The transcript has 2 exons. The record is from RefSeq and is a predicted model, not a curated record.